RNAcentral lists this ribosomal RNA (335 nucleotides) under Proteus mirabilis. RNAcentral's name for it is "partial 23S ribosomal RNA". It matches the Rfam family "Bacterial large subunit ribosomal RNA", at positions 1579 to 1896 of the family's 2925-position model. Lineage: Bacteria; Pseudomonadati; Pseudomonadota; Gammaproteobacteria; Enterobacterales; Morganellaceae. The record is from RNAcentral.
AAGGUGGUGAAGCAAUUGAUGCCCCGCUUCCAGGAAAAGCCUCUAAGCUUCAGGUUACCAACAAUCGUACCCCAAACCGACACAGGUGGUCAGGUAGAGAAUACUCAGGCGCUUGAGAGAACUCGGGUGAAGGAACUAGGCAAAAUGGUGCCGUAACUUCGGGAGAAGGCACGCUGGCGGUAGGUAAAGUCCCUUGCGGACGGCGCUGAAGCCAGUCGAAGAUACCAGCUGGCUGCAACUGUUUAUUAAAAACACAGCACUGUGCAAACACGAAAGUGGACGUAUACGGUGUGACGCCUGCCCGGUGCUGGAAGGUUAAUUGAUGGGGUCAGCCG